This 391-nucleotide ribosomal RNA is filed under the name Varanus bengalensis. Its description in RNAcentral is "partial 12S ribosomal RNA". It matches the Rfam family "Bacterial small subunit ribosomal RNA", at positions 854 to 1409 of the family's 1533-position model. The record is from RNAcentral. Lineage: Eukaryota; Metazoa; Chordata; Lepidosauria; Squamata; Varanidae.
GACCUAACAACCCACUCGCCCGAGGACUACCAGCACAAGCUAAAAACUCAAAAGACUUGACGGUGCUCUACCCUACCUAGAGGAGCCUGUCCUAUAAUCGAUACCCCACGAUCUACCCUACCUCUAUUAGCGCACACCAGCCUAUAUACCGCCGUCGAAAGUAUAUCCUGCAAAGGGCCUACAAUUAUCUCAAUAGCCCCCCACUAACACGUCAGGCCAGGGCAUAGCUGAUAUAGGAGGCAGAGAUGGGCUACAUUUUUCUGAAUGCAGAACAAACGAAAAAUAACAUGAAAUUCUGGUAUUUAAAGGGCGGUUUAGCAGUAAGUUGAAAAAGCAUGUUCACCUUAAACCCAGCACCAGAGCACGUACACACCGCCCGUUCACCCUAAAA